AUUGAACGCUGGCGUCAGGCCUAACACAUGCAAGUCGAGCGGAUGAAGGGAGCUUGCUCCUGGAUUCAGCGGCGGACGGGUGAGUAAUGCCUAGGAAUCUGCCUGGUAGUGGGGGAUAACGUCCGGAAACGGGCGCUAAUACCGCAUACGUCCUGAGGGAGAAAGUGGGGGAUCUUCGGACCUCACGCUAUCAGAUGAGCCUAGGUCGGAUUAGCUAGUUGGUGGGGUAAAGGCCUACCAAGGCGACGAUCCGUAACUGGUCUGAGAGGAUGAUCAGUCACACUGGAACUGAGACACGGUCCAGACUCCUACGGGAGGCAGCAGUGGGGAAUAUUGGACAAUGGGCGAAAGCCUGAUCCAGCCAUGCCGCGUGUGCGAAGAAGGUCUUCGGAUUGUAAAGCACUUUAAGUUGGGAGGAAGGGCAGUAAGUUAAUACCUUGCUGUUUUGACGUUACCAACAGAAUAAGCACCGGCUAACUUCGUG
This 484-nucleotide ribosomal RNA is filed under the name uncultured bacterium. RNAcentral's name for it is "partial 16S ribosomal RNA". It matches the Rfam family "Bacterial small subunit ribosomal RNA", at positions 30 to 507 of the family's 1533-position model. The record is from RNAcentral.